This 126-nucleotide small RNA is filed under the name Salmonella enterica subsp. enterica serovar Newport. RNAcentral's name for it is "RtT sRNA". It matches the Rfam family "RtT RNA". Rfam says of the family: This family represents a bacterial cis-regulatory element known as RtT RNA. Lineage: Bacteria; Pseudomonadati; Pseudomonadota; Gammaproteobacteria; Enterobacterales; Enterobacteriaceae. The record is from RNAcentral.
UUGCUAUCUGCGAUAUGGAAGAUUCGAACCUGCCGCAAGUUCGGGACUCACGCAGUGAGACAACGGAGCCGCUUGCGGCGACGGCCCGAAGGGCGAGCGAAGCGAGUCAUCCUGCACGACCCACCA